Molecule: unclassified non-coding RNA, 225 nt
Filed under: Hevea brasiliensis (rubber tree)
Lineage: Eukaryota; Viridiplantae; Streptophyta; Magnoliopsida; Malpighiales; Euphorbiaceae
Source: RNAcentral
CUAUGGAGCCAGGAAUGUUUGCAGAGUUGCGUGCCAAUAGUUCGGGAAUUAAUGUGAGGAAUACCAAGUUAGAAUGUAAGUAGGGCGGAAUGACAACAAAUAAAACUAAGCUUAGAAAAUGAAAGUGGAUAUAAAAGUGAUGAAAACAGAACCGAACCGAGGAAGGGUAGAGCAAUGAACAAACUGAAAAUCAAGAAUUCCAGUGUCCAACACCUCUUCGAAGAA